RNAcentral lists this ribosomal RNA (579 nucleotides) under Triticum aestivum (bread wheat). Its description in RNAcentral is "partial small subunit ribosomal RNA". Lineage: Eukaryota; Viridiplantae; Streptophyta; Magnoliopsida; Poales; Poaceae. The record is from RNAcentral.
AUGGUGGUGGUGGCGCGGGUGGCCGGUGGGUUGCUGCGCGCCCUCCUCUUCGGCGUCUUCGGGGCGGCCGGGACGGUGGUCGGCGCCGCGUACGGCCUCCUGUCUGGCUUCGUCGACGACGAGGACGGCUUCGCGCAGGGGACGCUGCUGGGGGCGCUCGCCGGAGCGCUCAUGUCCCUCGACCUCGUCCACUCCCUAAUGGCCAUAUGGGGUCACCGCCGCCAUGACGACCACUGCUCCCCCUUGGACGCUCACGCCGGGCGAAUCAAGCGCACCAUCGGCGCCGUUGUCCAACUCACGGCUCUCGCCGACCCGCAGUACUGCGGAAGACGAGGCGACAGCGCCGUCGUGGGCCUCGACCGGCCGGCAAGAUCGUCAAGCUUCGGCUUCUUUCCGCCGGUGGCCGUCGGUGCUGCAAGUGGCGGCUGCUGCCCCAUCUGCCUCCAGGAGUUCGAGGCCGGCGGCGAGCGCGCGGGGCGGCGGCUCCCGGCGUGCUCCCACGUCUUUCAUCUCGAGUGCAUCCGUAGCUGGCUCCUCCGCAAGCCCGACUGCCCCAUGUGCCGUCACGCCGUCCACUAG